CAGCCACACUGGAACUGAGACACGGUCCAGACUCCUACGGGAGGCAGCAGUGGGGAAUAUUGCACAAUGGGCGCAAGCCUGAUGCAGCCAUGCCGCGUGUGUGAAGAAGGCCUUCGGGUUGUAAAGCACUUUCAGCGGGGAGGAAGGCGUUAAGGUUAAUAACCUUGGCGAUUGACGUUACCCGCAGAAGAAGCACCGGCUAACUCCGUGCCAGCAGCCGCGGUAAUACGGAGGGUGCAAGCGUUAAUCGGAAUUACUGGGCGUAAAGCGCACGCAGGCGGUCUGUCAAGUCGGAUGUGAAAUCCCCGGGCUCAACCUGGGAACUGCAUUCGAAACUGGCAGGCUAGAGUCUUGUAGAGGGGGGUAGAAUUCCAGGUGUAGCGGUGAAAUGCGUAGAGAUCUGGAGGAAUAC
This 412-nucleotide ribosomal RNA is filed under the name Acinetobacter baumannii. Its description in RNAcentral is "bacterial SSU rRNA". It matches the Rfam family "Bacterial small subunit ribosomal RNA", at positions 305 to 709 of the family's 1533-position model. Lineage: Bacteria; Pseudomonadati; Pseudomonadota; Gammaproteobacteria; Moraxellales; Moraxellaceae. The record is from RNAcentral.